This 551-nucleotide ribosomal RNA is filed under the name uncultured bacterium. RNAcentral's name for it is "partial 16S ribosomal RNA". It matches the Rfam family "Bacterial small subunit ribosomal RNA", at positions 355 to 895 of the family's 1533-position model. The record is from RNAcentral.
UGGGGAAUAUUGCACAAUGGGCGCAAGCCUGAUGCAGCCAUGCCGCGUGUGUGAAGAAGGCCUUCGGGUUGUAAAGCACUUUCAGCGAGGAGGAAGGUGGUGAACUUAAUACGUUCAUCAAUUGACGUUACUCGCAGAAGAAGCACCGGCUAACUCCGUGCCGGCAGCCGCGGUAAUACGGAGGGUGCAAGCGUUAAUCGGAAUUACUGGGCGUAAAGCGCACGCAGGCGGUUUGUUAAGUCAGAUGUGAAAUCCCCGGGCUCAACCUGGGAACUGCAUUUGAAACUGGCAAGCUAGAGUCUCGUAGAGGGGGGUAGAAUUCCAGGUGUAGCGGUGAAAUGCGUAGAGAUCUGGAGGAGUACCGGUGGCGAAGGCGGCCCCCUGGACGAAGACUGACGCUCAGGUGCGAAAGCGUGGGGAGCAAAACAGGAUUAGAUACCCUGGUAGUCCACGCUGUAAAACGAUGUCGAUUUUGGAGGUUGUGCCCUUGAGGCGUGGCUUCCGGAGCUAACGCGUUAAAUCGACCGCCUGGGGAGUACGGCCGCAAGGUU